This is a long non-coding RNA of Pieris brassicae (large cabbage white), 544 nucleotides long. RefSeq lists it as uncharacterized. The transcript is spliced from 3 exons. The record is from RefSeq and is a predicted model, not a curated record. Lineage: Eukaryota; Metazoa; Arthropoda; Insecta; Lepidoptera; Pieridae.
AAAAAGUUGAUGGUGGAAUAAAGUAUCAUAAUCAUUGUAGUUUUAUACUGCUUAUCAGGACAUUGGGUUAAUGCUCUGUCAAUAUAAAGUGCAUAGUUAUCAAUUCAUUAUGCGGAUCAGAGCAGUGUUAUUUGUUUGUUUACAAAUUUUAAUUAAUAAGGAAAUUUUCGCACAAUGCUUUGAAUAUGUGCCGUCAAAUAUGCAUGCGUACUAUGGCUUAGGUCCUAGUUAUUACAAUUACAAACCUAGAGUCUACGAUGGAUUCAACAGGCAAUAUAAAAUGGAGAAUUUCAAUUUACCUCCGCCCUCAAUAAGCAUAUCUGCCGACGGAUUGAUUAUUAAUGGAGCCAUCUCAGUUUCGGGGACCUUACCAUUUCUGAGCUCUGUUUCGGUACAAGGAGAAUUGCCAAUGACUGGUUCGGGCGUUGUGGAAUUUAGUACUGGUAACAAUGAGGUCGUCAUAAAUCGAGAGUUGCCGGGGUACGCAAAUCGUUACAGUUAUAUGUCAUAUCAUUAAUCUGUUAUUAAAUGCUGUUUUUAUUUA